RNAcentral lists this ribosomal RNA (374 nucleotides) under uncultured organism. Its description in RNAcentral is "partial 16S ribosomal RNA". It matches the Rfam family "Bacterial small subunit ribosomal RNA", at positions 527 to 896 of the family's 1533-position model. The record is from RNAcentral.
GUAGGUGGCAAGCGUUGUCCGGAAUUAUUGGGCGUAAAGCGCGCGCAGGCGGUUCUUUAAGUCUGAUGUGAAAGCCCACGGCUCAACCGUGGAGGGUCAUUGGAAACUGGAGAACUUGAGUACAGAAGAGGAAAGCGGAAUUCCACGUGUAGCGGUGAGAUGCGUAGAGAUGUGGAGGAACACCAGUGGCGAAGGCGGCUUUCUGGUCUGUAACUGACGCUGAGGCGCGAAAGCGUGGGGGAGCAAACAGGAUUAGAUACCCUGGUAGUCCACGCCGUAAACGAUGAGUGCUAAGUGUUAGGGGGUUUCCGCCCCUUAGUGCUGCAGCUAACGCAUUAAGCACUCCCGCCCUGGGUAGUACGGCCGCAAGGCUG